GAUCCUGGCUCAGGAUGAACGCUAGCUACAGGCUUAACACAUGCAAGUCGAGGGGCAGCAUUUUAGUUUGCUUGCAAACUGAAGAUGGCGACCGGCGCACGGGUGAGUAACACGUAUCCAACCUGCCGAUAACUCCGGAAUAGCCUUUCGAAAGAAAGAUUAAUACCGGAUAGCAUACGAAUAUCGCAUGAUAUUUUUAUUAAAGAAUUUCGGUUAUCGAUGGGGAUGCGUUCCAUUAUUUG
RNAcentral lists this ribosomal RNA (242 nucleotides) under uncultured bacterium. RNAcentral's name for it is "partial 16S ribosomal RNA". It matches the Rfam family "Bacterial small subunit ribosomal RNA", at positions 15 to 247 of the family's 1533-position model. The record is from RNAcentral.